UACGAAGGGGGCUAGCGUCGCUCGGAAUCACUGGGCGUAAAGCGCACGUAGGCGGAUUGUUAAGUCAGGGGUGAAAUCCUGGAGCUCAACUCCAGAACUGCCUUUGAUACUGGCGAUCUUGAGUCCGGGAGAGGUGAGUGGAACUGCGAAUGUAGAGGUGAAAUUCGUAGAUAUUCGCAAGAACACCAGUGGCGAAGGCGGCUCACUGGCCCGGUACUGACGCUGAGGUGCGAAAGCGUGGGGAGCAAACAGG
Molecule: ribosomal RNA, 253 nt
Filed under: uncultured bacterium
Lineage: Bacteria
Description: partial 16S ribosomal RNA
Rfam family: Bacterial small subunit ribosomal RNA
Source: RNAcentral